AUACGGAGGGUGCAAGCGUUGUUCGGAAUUAUUGGGCGUAAAGCGCGUGUAGGCGGCUUGGUAAGUCAGGUGUGAAAGCCCUUAGCUCAACUAAGGAAAGUCAUCUGAAACUGCCAGGCUUGAGUACGGGAGAGGAGAGUGGAAUUCCCGGUGUAGAGGUGAAAUUCGUAGAUAUCGGGAGGAACACCCGUGGCGAAGGCGACUCUCUGGACCGAUACUGACGCUGAGACGCGAAAGCGUGGGGAGCAAACAGGAUUAGAUACCCUAGUAGUCC
This 274-nucleotide ribosomal RNA is filed under the name uncultured bacterium. Its description in RNAcentral is "partial 16S ribosomal RNA". It matches the Rfam family "Bacterial small subunit ribosomal RNA", at positions 523 to 796 of the family's 1533-position model. The record is from RNAcentral.